This 294-nucleotide ribosomal RNA is filed under the name uncultured bacterium. RNAcentral's name for it is "partial 16S ribosomal RNA". It matches the Rfam family "Bacterial small subunit ribosomal RNA", at positions 335 to 626 of the family's 1533-position model. The record is from RNAcentral.
GUGCCUACGGGGGGCAGCAGUGAGGAAUAUUGGUCAAUGGGCGGGAGCCUGAACCAACCAAGUCGCGUGAAGGAAGAAGGUACUUAGUAUUGUAAACUUCUUUUGUCGGGGAACAAAGGCGGAGACGCGUCUCCGGAUGAGUGUACCCGAAGAAGAAGCAUCGGCUAACUCCGUGCCAGCAGCCGCGGUAAUACGGAGGAUGCGAGCGUUAUCCGGAUUUAUUGGGUUUAAAGGGUGCGCAGGCGGGAGGUUUAGUCAGGGGUAAAAUGUCGGGGCUCAACCCCGGCCGGGCGU